RNAcentral lists this small RNA (83 nucleotides) under Marmota monax (woodchuck). The record is from RNAcentral. Lineage: Eukaryota; Metazoa; Chordata; Mammalia; Rodentia; Sciuridae.
GCCGGGUGUAGUGGUGCACACCUGUAAUCCCAGCAACUCAGGAGGCUGAGGCAGGAGGAUGGUGAGUUCAAAGCCAGCCUCAG